Molecule: long non-coding RNA, 987 nt
Organism: Anopheles darlingi
Lineage: Eukaryota; Metazoa; Arthropoda; Insecta; Diptera; Culicidae
Exons: 4
Source: RefSeq, a predicted model, not a curated record
UACGCGUGGCUCGCUGAGGGCAUGUGGUUCGGCGUUGUUUCAAUGCCGUACAUUUUAGUGCAGUGAUUAGUGUAAUCACUGUGUCGCACUUUUCUCUGAUCAAAAAUCAGAAAUCAGAGAAAUCGCCGCUGGUUUGCAUGUAGAAUGCAUGUUUUCUACUGCUCCAGCCACGAGGUUCUGUGCGUGUGCGUGUGUGUGCUUCAAUAGGUGACAGCUCAUUUCGUUGCUGUGGAAAAGUGUUGCUAGAAGAAACGGACAAGCAUGGAAUAGAUAAAACCCAGUAACCUUUGGUUUUGUUUGUGAGGAAAAUAUAUGUGCCUAAUGCUUUGCGAAUUCUUGCGUAGCAACAAAAUGGUGGUUUUGCAAUAAAAUCUAAUUUAUUGUGUGCGUGCGUGCGUUCGUGUUUGCUAUGCGAACGAAUCGGUUUGAAGCAAAACCACCAGUUGCUUGUGUGUGUUUAUUUUGUUUUUCUUUGGCCCGGAUCUCGGGGUCGUGCUUUGGUGUAAUAUGAGGAUGUGUUUGAGGAAUAUUGCGUGACUGCAGAAUAUCGCCAGGAUGAUACAUACCGAACUCUAGGAAGCAGUUCGGUUUUCGGAAUUGUGUUUUGCCGGCACAAGCCUUUUUUUCUUUAGCAGCCAGGGUUGGCUCGAAAAGCAUUUGCCAUAAAUGAGGCACCAGCUUAUCUUGCCAUAAAUGAGGCAACAUAUUAUCUUGCCAUAAUUGAGGCACCAGCUUAUCUGGCCAUAAAUGACGUGUUUCUUAAAAUCGAUGUGAUUUUGAGACCUUUGACCGAUACUAAAUGAGACUUAUGCUGCGUGAUCUACAUAUUAAGAGCUCGACGCAGCGAUUGCCUGAAAAUGGAAAACGAAUAACUUACAUCGAACAAGACUGUGAAACCUCCAUUCAACAAAAGUAAGCCCUAAAUUAAGAAAAGCUAUAUCUGGAAGUGCAUUUGCCAGAAAAAUGACCUUCACCUAGACAAUUAUG